GAUGAACGCUGGCGGCGUGCCUAAUACAUGCAAGUCGAGCGAACAGACGAGGAGCUUGCUCCUCUGACGUUAGCGGCGGACGGGUGAGUAACACGUGGAUACCCUACCUAUAAGACUGGGAUAACUUCGGGAAACCGGAGCUAAUACCGGAUAAUAUAUUGAACCGCUUGGUUCAAUAGUGAAAGACGGUUUUGCUGUCACUUAUAGAUGGAUCCGCGCCGCAUUAGCUAGUUGGUAAGGUAACGGCUUACCAAGGCAACGAUGCGUAGCCGACCUGAGAGGGUGAUCGGCCACACUGGAACUGAGACACGGUCCAGACUCCUACGGGAGGCAGCAGUAGGGAAUCUUCCGCAAUGGGCGAAAGCUUGACGGAGCAACGCCGCGUGAGUGAUGAAGGUCUUCGGAUCGUAAAACUCUGUUAUUAGGGAAGAACAAAUGUGUAAGUAACUAUGCGCGUCUUGACGGUACCUAAUCAGAAAGCCACGGCUAACUACGUG
RNAcentral lists this ribosomal RNA (497 nucleotides) under uncultured bacterium. Its description in RNAcentral is "partial 16S ribosomal RNA". It matches the Rfam family "Bacterial small subunit ribosomal RNA", at positions 28 to 507 of the family's 1533-position model. The record is from RNAcentral.